RNAcentral lists this long non-coding RNA (1221 nucleotides) under Gouania willdenowi (blunt-snouted clingfish). RNAcentral describes it as "lncRNA (ENSGWIG00000006470.1)". The record is from RNAcentral. Lineage: Eukaryota; Metazoa; Chordata; Actinopteri; Blenniiformes; Gobiesocidae.
CGAUGACCUCGUUGAUGGCUUGAUUCGAGUCUGCAGCGUUGUCGAUCGGCCGGAACGCUCCGCGGCCGGGCUCCGUCUAAUCGCUGGCUCGCUGUAGUUCACACUGUCCCACCUCCGCUUCUCCGUCGCGGGGCCGGCUUAGUGUUGAUUACUGUACGGUUUUAAUGGACUAAUUAACUUUAAUCCACUAACUCCCACCGUAAAGGGUGUGUUUCACUGGUGAAAAGUGUGUCACUCAAGCUCGGACAUCGGAUUGCUGUCUUUUAACAGUUUUAUUUCAAUUCACCGCUAACUAUUACUAGCACAGUAACCGUGUCGUUUGCCAGCCAGGUAAUCAACUGUAACGACAUAAACAUACACACCCACAACAUUAACAACACGGACAUAUUAUCGACUGUAUGAACUGCACACAUGAACAUUUAAGUAGUUACAGGUUUAACAUCAACACGUUAACUCACCAGCUCAGCUUCACCAGUCAAAACAGCGACAUCCGUACAAAUGAAAUCCGGCAGGUAAACACAUACGCGGGUAACACACAUCACGCCCUAUAUUUUCUUAGAUUAAUCCGCCCCAAAUAAAAUACAGAAAAAUGCGAUAAUUCUAUAACAUAAUACAGAGUGUUUGGUUGGCGAUAAAUCAAAACAAAUAAAUUAUACACCAACAUGUGAAAAAUAGGAGAACUCCACACAAUGUGCCUAAAUAUACAUUUGCUCCAUGGCAGCACUUCGUUAGCAAACGAUUUGUUUUUGUAUAUUCAUCAAUCAAAACGGAAUUUAAAUGCAUUAGUAUCACUUUUAUUACGCUGUAGUAAUCCUGAAAGGGUUUUGUUUAAUCUAUUUCAGGGUGUAAAAGGAGAAAAUGGAGACUUUGGAGAAAAAGGCUGCAAGGGUACAACAGGAGAUCCUGGUUAUAGCUACACAAAAGGCUCAAAGGGAGACAAAGGACAACCUGGUCCAGAAGGAAAGCCAGGAAAAGAUGGGGAUCCUGGAAAACGUGGAUUUGAGGUAUUACAUAACCAUUGUCUGCGUGCAUGAGUGUGUGUGUGGCCUAUUAUUACAGUAUAUUUCUACCUAGGGAAUACCUGGCCUCAAGGGGGAUCCAGGUUUUGCAGGUCCACAAGGAGGAAUGGUCAGUUACUUAUAUACACAAGCGCGCUCUCAAUCCGUCUAGAAAUGUACAAUUACAAAAAAUAAUAAUAAUUUUCUAUUUUUCUGAUGAUGU